RNAcentral lists this ribosomal RNA (468 nucleotides) under uncultured bacterium. RNAcentral describes it as "partial 16S ribosomal RNA". It matches the Rfam family "Bacterial small subunit ribosomal RNA", at positions 28 to 507 of the family's 1533-position model. The record is from RNAcentral.
GACGAACGCUGGCGGCGUGCUUAACACAUGCAAGUCGAACGGAAAGACCCUGCUUUUGCGGGGUUCUCGAGUGGCGAACGGGGGAGUAACACGUGAGUAACCUGCCCUUGACUUUGGGAUAACUUCAGGAAACUGGGGCUAAUAUCGGAUAGGAGCUCUUGCUGCAUGGGGGGGGUUGGAAAGUGUCGGCGGUGGGGGCUGGUCUCGCGGGUUAUGAGCUUCUUUGUGGAGUAGUGGCUUACCAAGGCUUUGACGGGUAGCCGGCCUGAGCGGGUAGACAGGCUCCUUGGUCCUGCGGUACGCACCAGACUGCUACGGGACGCAGUAGUGGAGAAUCUUACGGAAUGGGCGCGCGCCUGAUACGAAGGCGCUGCGUGCGUGAUACUCGCCUUCGGGUUAUAAACAGCUUUCGAAUGUGACGAAGCGUGAGUGACGGUAACGGGUAAAGAAGCCCCGGCUAACUACGUG